Molecule: ribosomal RNA, 453 nt
Filed under: Callyntra rufocastanea
Lineage: Eukaryota; Metazoa; Arthropoda; Insecta; Coleoptera; Tenebrionidae
Description: partial large subunit ribosomal RNA
Rfam family: Bacterial large subunit ribosomal RNA
Source: RNAcentral
UCAAAAACAUGUCCUUUUGUUAAUAAUUUAAGGUCUGACCUGCCCAAUGAUUAUUUAAAUGGCCGCAGUAUAUUGACUGUGCAAAGGUAGCAUAAUCAUUAGUUUUUUAAUUGUAAGCUGGAAUGAAUGGUUUGAUGAGAGAAUAACUGUCUCAAUUUAAUUGUAUUAGAAUUUUAAUUUUAAGUGAAAAAGCUUAAAUUUUGAAUGAAGACGAGAAGACCCUAUAGAGUUUAAUAUUUUCAUAUUAUGGUUGGUUUUAGUUUUAUUUAAAAUUUUAAUUUGGAAUUAUUUUGUUGGGGUGAUAUUAAAAUUUAAUAAACUUUUAAUUUAUUUUAACAUUAUUUUUGAUUAUUUGAUCCUAAUUUUUAGAUUAUAAGAUAAAAUUACCUUAGGGAUAACAGCGUAAUUUUUUUUAAGAGUUCCUAUCGAAAAAAAAGUUUGCGACCUCGAUGU